UCUCUCUCUCUCUCUGUUUCCUUUUUCAAUUCAUACAGUUUUAAUGUGCUUGUGUGAUUGCACGCUGGUGUUUCCCUUUGCAUUUGUCAUCCAUGAAUCAGCAAACCCGCAUAUUGCUGUCUUGUGGCGUCUUCCCGGCACCACUGUACAUAGAAAUAUUCAACAGUAUCCAGAAGCAUUACAUACAAUGGAAUUGUGAUUGUUCGAAUUGACGCACCUAUUUAUUUUGCAAACAUUAGUUACAUAAAGGAUAGGUACAAUUUCAGGUUGUGCCAUUUUGAUGUUCUGUGAAUCUAACUGUUUAUUUACCUAGCAAGUCUCUUCAGUUGUGUUAGUUUUCCCCAGUUAAGGAAUCAUAUUCAAGUUAAUUUAAUUGCCUUUCGCGGACCAGAAGUUGAGGUUGAUAGGUCUGCUAGUCGCGGACCAGAAGUUGAAAGAAUUUAUUUUGUGAACAUAGAGAUGGCACGCUAGUUUUUGCUAAUCCUGUGCUUUUUUCUUUGGAAUUUGUUCUUCUCAUGGGUUAUGAAGAAGCAUUUAGUGAUCAGAUAUUCAUUCAAAGUUCAAACACAAUAAUAUUGCUAAACAUUCGAAAGAAUUCCAGUUCUGCAUACUGCAAAUAUAUACCACAUUUGAUUGACAUGGAUGUUUCAGUUCCCAGCAAAAUCUAAGCUGAUGCUUUUCAAUUAUUAUUUGACGUUGUCUGUUAAGUCAUCUAAUUCAGUGAUUUAUUUUUGGAAAUAUUUCGGGAAGUCAUGCAUUGUUGUUUCUAGCUCUCGAAAAAUUCCAUGGACUUGUCUCUUUUGUAUCAUGCCUGCUGAGCUUGUUCAGAACUUUCUAAAUAAGGUCUGGUGAUUUUCUGAACUGUAUCAUUAUCGUGUUGCAACUGUAACAUACAUAGACUCCAGCGCUGUCCAAGCUUUUAUAGACUUACAUCAGGAGUACGAGCCGCGUAAUAUCCAGAUAGCCAUUUCCAAUCCCAAUUGAGAAGUUCUGAUGACUUUAUCAAGCUCAAAUGUAGUGGACCUGAUUGGUAAGGAGUGGUACUUUGUGAGAGUGCACGAUGCAGUUCAAGUUUGCCUUCGGCACUUCCAGAGCUUAAGGGAGACGCCUAAAACAGCAGACCCUUCGUCUGGCACUGGAGUCUGGCAACGAGCAGAGGAUUCAUCGGUGUCCGAACUGGAGUCUGGCACCCAGAUUGAUCCCCAGUUGGAGCGGCUAUUGUCACGAAAAUCUUCUUGAUAUUGAUGGCAUGUAAUAUAUGAUGCCUAUAUUUUUGCUAGGCGGCUUUGUAUUCAAUCACAUCAAUCCCAUUCUUUAGCUGUUCAGGGUUUUGAUUAUUUCAUGUAAUUAGGCUCCUUUGUAGUUGUAAAAUGUAAUACACGAGCUUCCUUGUUAAAAGAAAAAAGCCAAAUUGUAAGUAAUGUGCUUUGAAUAAAUGUAGAGAA
This is a long non-coding RNA of Pyrus x bretschneideri (Chinese white pear), 1445 nucleotides long. RefSeq lists it as uncharacterized. Lineage: Eukaryota; Viridiplantae; Streptophyta; Magnoliopsida; Rosales; Rosaceae. The record is from RefSeq and is a predicted model, not a curated record. The transcript has 3 exons.